UUCUUAACUAGCAAUAUCGGACUCGAGAA
This 29-nucleotide non-coding RNA is filed under the name Bombyx mori (domestic silkworm). The record is from RNAcentral. Lineage: Eukaryota; Metazoa; Arthropoda; Insecta; Lepidoptera; Bombycidae.